This 497-nucleotide ribosomal RNA is filed under the name uncultured bacterium. Its description in RNAcentral is "partial 16S ribosomal RNA". It matches the Rfam family "Bacterial small subunit ribosomal RNA", at positions 28 to 507 of the family's 1533-position model. The record is from RNAcentral.
GAUGAACGCUGGCGGCGUGCCUAAUACAUGCAAGUCGAGCGAACAGAUGAGGAGCUUGCUCCUCUGACGUUAGCGGCGGACGGGUGAGUAACACGUGGAUAACCUACCUAUAAGACUGGGAUAACUUCGGGAAACCGGAGCUAAUACCGGAUAAUAUAUUGAACUGCAUGGUUCAAUAGUGAAAGACGGUUUUGCUGUCACUUAUAGAUGGAUCCGCGCCGCAUUAGCUAGUUGGUAAGGUAACGGCUUACCAAGGCAACGAUGCGUAGCCGACCUGAGAGGGUGAUCGGCCACACUGGAACUGAGACCCGGUCCAGACUCCUACGGGAGGAAGCAGUAGGGAAUCUUCCGCAAUGGGCGAAAGCCUGACGGAGCAACGCCGCGUGAGUGAUGAAGGUCUUCGGAUCGUAAACCUCUGUUAUUAGGGAAGAACAAAUGUGUAAGUAACUAUGCACGUCUUGACGGUACCUAAUCAGAAAGCCACGGCUAACUACGUG